This is a long non-coding RNA of Diprion similis, 163 nucleotides long. RefSeq lists it as uncharacterized. NCBI's taxonomy places the organism in Eukaryota, Metazoa, Arthropoda, Insecta, Hymenoptera, Diprionidae. The record is from RefSeq and is a predicted model, not a curated record. The transcript is spliced from 4 exons.
GGGUGGUUUCACCCACUUACAGUGUUUAAUGGCAGGUAAAAAAAAACACGUGUCGUUUAGUUUUUAGUCUACUAUAACAUAAUACAAAAGAAAUGCAAUCGGAGAGAUCGACUUGGGAUACCUUCCUCGUGACAGGAUGAAAUACAAGUUCCGUGAGACGACA